UACGUAGGGCGCUAGCGUUGUCCGGAAUCAUUGGGCGUAAAGCGCUCGUAGGCGGCCUUGUAAGUCCGUUCUGAAAGCCCGGGGCUCAACCCCGGGAGGCGGAUGGAUACUGCAAGGCUCGAGUCCGGAAGAGGCGAGUGGAAUUCCCGGUGUAGCGGUGAAAUGCGCAGAUAUCGGGAGGAACACCGAUGGCGAAGGCAGCUCGCUGGGACGGUACUGACGCUGAGGCGCGAAAGCGUGGGGAGCAAACAGG
This 253-nucleotide ribosomal RNA is filed under the name uncultured bacterium. RNAcentral's name for it is "partial 16S ribosomal RNA". It matches the Rfam family "Bacterial small subunit ribosomal RNA", at positions 524 to 776 of the family's 1533-position model. The record is from RNAcentral.